This 69-nucleotide transfer RNA is filed under the name Chloronia mirifica. RNAcentral describes it as "tRNA-Gln". The record is from RNAcentral. Lineage: Eukaryota; Metazoa; Arthropoda; Insecta; Megaloptera; Corydalidae.
UACAUUUUAGUAUAUGAUGUACAUAAACUUUUGAUGUUUAAAGAGAUAGUUUAAUUCUAUUAAAUGUAA